CGGACGGGUGAGUAAUGCCUAGGAAUCUGCCUGGUAGUGGGGGACAACGUUUCGAAAGGAAUGCUAAUACCGCAUACGUCCUACGGGAGAAAGCAGGGGACCUUCGGGCCUUGCGCUAUCAGAUGAGCCUAGGUCGGAUUAGCUAGUUGGUGAGGUAAUGGCUCACCAAGGCGACGAUCCGUAACUGGUCUGAGAGGAUGAUCAGUCACACUGGAACUGAGACACGGUCCAGACUCCUACGGGAGGCAGCAGCA
RNAcentral lists this ribosomal RNA (254 nucleotides) under uncultured Pseudomonas sp. RNAcentral describes it as "partial 16S ribosomal RNA". It matches the Rfam family "Bacterial small subunit ribosomal RNA", at positions 99 to 355 of the family's 1533-position model. The record is from RNAcentral. Lineage: Bacteria; Pseudomonadati; Pseudomonadota; Gammaproteobacteria; Pseudomonadales; Pseudomonadaceae.